CAGCAGCCGCGGGAAUACGAAGGGUGCAAGCGUUACUCGGAAUUACUGGGCGUAAAGCGUGCGCAGGCGGUGUUGUAAGACUGAUGUGAAAUCCCCGGGCUCAACCUGGGAACUGCAUUGGUGACUGCAACGCUGGAGUGCGGCAGAGGGGGAUGGAAUUCCGCGUGUAGCAGUGAAAUGCGUAGAUAUGCGGAGGAACACCGAUGGCGAAGGCAAUCCCCUGGGCCUGCACUGACGCUCAUGCACGAAAGCGUGGGGAGCAAACAGGAUUAGAUACCCCUGUAGUCCCUGUCUCUUAUAC
This 301-nucleotide ribosomal RNA is filed under the name uncultured bacterium. RNAcentral's name for it is "partial 16S ribosomal RNA". It matches the Rfam family "Bacterial small subunit ribosomal RNA", at positions 509 to 807 of the family's 1533-position model. The record is from RNAcentral.